GCCAGAGUGGCCGAGCGGUUCAAGGCGCUUCAGUUCGGAACCGAGAGCCGCUACGGUCGCAGGUUCGAAUCCUGCCUCGGGCA
Molecule: non-coding RNA, 83 nt
Organism: Schistocerca serialis cubense
Lineage: Eukaryota; Metazoa; Arthropoda; Insecta; Orthoptera; Acrididae
Source: the annotation of a RefSeq genome assembly